RNAcentral lists this ribosomal RNA (550 nucleotides) under Petasospora sp. RNAcentral describes it as "Cyberlindnera sp. partial large subunit ribosomal RNA". It matches the Rfam family "Eukaryotic large subunit ribosomal RNA", at positions 98 to 655 of the family's 3401-position model. The record is from RNAcentral. Lineage: Eukaryota; Fungi; Ascomycota; Saccharomycetes; Phaffomycetales; Wickerhamomycetaceae.
GCGGCAAAAGCUCAAAUUUGAAAUCUGAGGCUCUCCAGCCCCCGAGUUGUAAUUUGAAGAUGGUGUUCUGGUGCCGGCGCCCUGUCUACGUUCCUUGGAACAGGACAUCGCAGAGGGUGAGAAUCCCGUGUGGCGGGGCGGCCUGGCUCCGUGUAGAGCGCCAUCGACGAGUCGAGUUGUUUGGGAAUGCAGCUCUAAGUGGGUGGUAAAUUCCAUCUAAAGCUAAAUAUUGGCGAGAGACCGAUAGCGAACAAGUACAGUGAUGGAAAGAUGAAAAGAACUUUGAAAAGAGAGUGAAAAAGUACGUGAAAUUGUUGAAAGGGAAGGGUAUUGGAUCAGACUUGGUGCUGUGCGAAUAGCGGCUCUUCCUGGGCCGCCCCACUCGCACUCCACCGGGCCAGCAUCGGUUUGGGCGGCAAGACAAUGGCGGGGGAACGUGGCACUGCUCUCGGGCAGUGUGUUUAUAGCCCUCGCUGAUGUUGCCUGCCUAGACCGAGGACUGCGGCUUCUGCCUAGGAUGCUGGCGUAAUGAUCCAACACCGCCCGUCUU